This 26-nucleotide non-coding RNA is filed under the name Homo sapiens (human). Lineage: Eukaryota; Metazoa; Chordata; Mammalia; Primates; Hominidae. The record is from RNAcentral.
UGCAUCUCAUGAGGUGUUUGUGAAGA